Molecule: non-coding RNA, 76 nt
Organism: Podarcis lilfordi (Lilford's wall lizard)
Lineage: Eukaryota; Metazoa; Chordata; Lepidosauria; Squamata; Lacertidae
Source: the annotation of a GenBank genome assembly
GGCACCUGUUAGCUCAAUUGGCUAAAGCGUGGUUCUGAUAACGCCAAGGUUGUGGGUUCGAUCCCCAUAUGGGCCA